AUAAGAAUUUAGUCUGUGAUUGUACUCUAUUAUGGAAAUUGGAGGGCUGCCUACUUUUAGCCUCCGUUAUGGUAUACCUACACAAUUUGACGGAAAUUGCGCAUAAAGAUGUCUUGUAAUAUUAUUAUGAGGUCUUCUCAUGCAUAUAGCUGCGGGUCGAUGCUGUGCGGCUUGGGCAGCGUGCUGUCGUUAAUGGAGUCGACGAGCGCUCUGUUGUCGGCGAUGGGCGUGCGAGCUUGUGACGGGGACUCUGUUUUCAUUCCAGCUUUCGCCUGAAAAUAUUCACAACAAAACAAUGUAUAUCUGCUAAUGUUCGAAACACAAACAUUUUGGAAAAGUAUUUUUUCGAAUACGAAAAGGCAAUAAACGACUAUCCUAGGCCUAAACGAAAACAAUACUUGUCGUUACAACAUUAAGUUAUUUUUUCACGGCGCCUUAAGUUUUCUAGAAACCUGCAUUAGCAGACAAAGAUUGGGCCUGCGUUAGCAAACCAAAAUUAAAAAAACUUUUUUCAUAUUACUGUGUUAUGAGUGUUUACGUUAGAUUUUUGAUAAAUAUUAAAAUCUAUUAUAAUCAAUUUACACAAAACACAGUAAUAAUAAAAACUAUAGCCAGAGAACCAACAUUAAACUAUUUUUAAUAAUAUAA
This is a long non-coding RNA of Bombyx mori (domestic silkworm), 648 nucleotides long. RefSeq lists it as uncharacterized. The record is from RefSeq and is a predicted model, not a curated record. The transcript has 2 exons. Lineage: Eukaryota; Metazoa; Arthropoda; Insecta; Lepidoptera; Bombycidae.